AAAUGUUUUUUUUUUCUUGUAAACUUUAAGUUUUCUUCUAGAUCUGUUCUCCGAUUGAACGUGUCUCCCAUGUGUCUGAUUGGAGUGAUGCUGGGCAACUACUGCAAAAACACAAAGACGAUCUUGACAACAGCGACCAUGAGGAAUCAUCAUCUGGAUCGCUGAACAGAAUUUUCAGCCAGGAUGCAUCUGGUUCUGUCGUAAGUUAACUGUGGAUUAUUGUUCUACAAAUAACUUAGUGUCUCCAUGAAGCUGCUUGUGUCCUUGGAAUUUGCUUCACUGCCUCCCAAUAAAAACUAGUCUCUUAUCUGAAGUCUUGUUUUU
Molecule: long non-coding RNA, 324 nt
Organism: Cyprinus carpio (common carp)
Lineage: Eukaryota; Metazoa; Chordata; Actinopteri; Cypriniformes; Cyprinidae
Source: Ensembl